This 257-nucleotide ribosomal RNA is filed under the name uncultured bacterium. RNAcentral describes it as "partial 16S ribosomal RNA". It matches the Rfam family "Bacterial small subunit ribosomal RNA", at positions 524 to 777 of the family's 1533-position model. The record is from RNAcentral.
UACGGAGGGGGCUAGCGUUGUUCGGAAUUACUGGGCGUAAAGCGCACGUAGGCGGCUUUGUAAGUUAGAGGUGAAAGCCCGGGGCUCAACUCCGGAAUUGCCUUUAAGACUGCAUCGCUAGAAUUGUGGAGAGGUAAGUGGAAUCCGAGUGUAGAGGUGAAAAUUCGUAGAUAUUCGGAAGAACACCAGUGGCGAAGGCGGACUUACUGGACACAUAUUGACGCUGAGGUGCGAAAAGCGUGGGGGAGCAAACAGGG